UACAGAGGGGGCAAGCGUUAUUCGGAAUUAUUGGGCGUAAAGGGCGCGUAGGCGGCCUGGCAAGUGGAAGGUGAAAUCCCUCGGCUUAACCGAGGAACUGCCCUCCAAACUGCUUGGCUUGAGUCCGGGAGAGGUGAGUGGAAUUCCCAGUGUAGCGGUGAAAUGCGUAGAUAUCUGGAGGAACACCGGUGGCGAAGGCGGCAUCCUGGACCAACACUGACGCUGAGUGAGCGAAAGCCAGGGGAGCAAACGGG
RNAcentral lists this ribosomal RNA (254 nucleotides) under uncultured bacterium. Its description in RNAcentral is "partial 16S ribosomal RNA". It matches the Rfam family "Bacterial small subunit ribosomal RNA", at positions 524 to 776 of the family's 1533-position model. The record is from RNAcentral.